This 420-nucleotide ribosomal RNA is filed under the name uncultured bacterium. Its description in RNAcentral is "bacterial SSU rRNA". It matches the Rfam family "Bacterial small subunit ribosomal RNA", at positions 355 to 774 of the family's 1533-position model. The record is from RNAcentral.
UAAGGAAUAUUGCUCAAUGGGAGAAAUCCUGAAGCAGCAACGCCGCGUGGAGGAUGAAGGGUCUAUGACUUGUAAACUCCUGUAAAGAAGGAAAAAAUUCCCAUUUGAUGGGAGAUGAUGGUACUUCUGGAGUAAGCCCCGGCUAACUACGUGCCAGCAGCCGCGGUAAUACGUAGGGGGCAAGCGUUGUCCGGAUUUACUGGGCGUAAAGGGAGCGUAGGCGGACUUUUAAGUGAGAUGUGAAAUACCCGGGCUCAACCUGGGUGCUGCAUAUCAAACUGGAAGUCUAGAGUGCAGGAGAGGAGAGUGGAAUUCCUAGUGUAGCGGUGAAAUGCGUAGAGAUUAGGAAGAACACCAGUGGCGAAGGCGACUCUCUGGACUGUAACUGACGCUGAGGCUCGAAAGCGUGGGGAGCAAACA